AAAAAAAAAAAAAAAAAGAAAUGCAAAAUGAAGGGCUUCUGAAAUGCACAAAGAAUGUAUUUAAGGGUCUUUCAUUUUAAAUCAAACACUUACAUAGCACUUACUACUUGCAACGCUCCAUUCUAAGCACUUUACCCAUCUUAAUUCAUUUAAUUCUCUUCUGAACCCUAAGAAGCAGGUAUUACCACUGCUCCAAUCUUACAGAUGAGGAAACUCAAGCAUGGAGAGGUUGAGUGACUUGCCCAAAUUCAUGCAGUUAGGACCUGGCAGAGCUGGGGUUUGAACCUAGGCUCCCUGGCUCUAGAGUGUGUGCACAAAACUUCACUGCCAUAUGAGCGAAACUGCAGGACAGAUGUUCUCAAAGCAAAUAACCCUCCCAGAGGUAAGAGUUAGGUUCUGUUUCCCCACUGGUUUGUGUAACUCAAGAGGGGAGCUAUUACUAAAAGCUAAAGCGGGUAGGCCAAGGUUGCAUGCAAAGCUGAUAGUUGCUGAGUCAAUGAAUAGCUGCAUGAUGUGCAAUGAGGUGGAGAAAGACAUUAACGUGAAAGAAUUUGAUUACUUUUUACUGGAGGAACCCAGAACCACACAGAGCCCUGAGGGCAUUGCCCCAGUGCCCACAGGUAAAUCAGGGACAGCUAGACCCUUUCCACAGUGCCUUUCCUGGGGGUUGUCUCAUGCCCUUGAGUUAGGAGUCAACCCUAUGGGAUCCUCUGGGCUAAAUCAGCCACUGAGGGGCUACAGUUGACCUAGCGAUGUCCAGACUGGGGCUGGGUAGCCCUCUGCUCUAUGAAUCCCCAAAACUUCAUCCAGACUCUGCAUCCCUUUGUUCUGUAAAUGGGUCUAGUUCUCUGAUUCUCAAAGGCUCCUGGAGGGCAGGGGUUUUGUCUUAUUCACAUUGAAAUCUUUAGGAUCUGCAGCAUCCAGCAGGUGGAGAGGAGGAGAGAUUUAGCAUUGAUUAUGCGUCUGUUCCUGGCCAGGAGUCCCACCCCUGCCACCUUACCUGAUCUUCACAACACCCCUUAGAGGGCAUUCCUUGAAGGGGAAGAUAUUACCAGCCCCCACUUAGAGAGGCUUUUCCUGAUGACUCCAGGGACCUGCCCUAGCCUGGUCUGACUUCCCAGAGGGGAUCCAGUCCCAACAUGGGCCCUAUAUUUAGACCACAUUUCCAUCCCAUUCUCAAUGAAAAACCCUGAGUCGUGACAGAAGACAACCAAUGCUGGAGAGAGGAGGCUUCAGCAUCCACCUGUGUUAAUCAAGAGGGUUUUGAGCUAUAUAUGUGCCCAGCUCUGUGACUGGAGAAGGAAAGUCACGUAAGACACAGUCCUUGCCUUCAUAAGACGUGCAACCUGUGGGCAGAUGAGUCCUACACAGGAAGCGGGGGCAAGAGGGGAACUGUGAGCACUGAGGAGCGCGGCUCUGCCACAGGGAACAGAGUGCAGCUACCGCUGGCCUUUUCUCAGGCACAGCUGAGAUGCUAAGAAGGGAGGAACUUCACCACUAAAGGAAGAACUGAACCUGGUGGAGAGAAGCCCAGGAGGCAAGUUAUCUUGAUAGGAUUAUCCGGGAAAAAUAUUAAAUAGGUUUUAAGAAGGUUCAGGAUGGUAAAGACCAUGCAAAAAAAGAAAAAAGUAAAAUCCCUGAGGGAUUCUGCAUUCAGAUGACUCCACAAUAUAAAUCCAAAAUCCAAACUGAAAUCGGAAGACCCAGACAGUGCAUUAUUAAUAUGGCACAGGCAAGAGAGACACGAAAUUUCAACUGGCUGAUCAGACACCAAGAGAAGACCUGGGCCCUGUGUCAAAAGAUGGGUGAACGAAUUUACAUUUAUAUAGUUUCAGUUAAAGUAAAAUCUUGAAAAUCUA
Molecule: non-coding RNA, 1859 nt
Organism: Macaca mulatta (Rhesus monkey)
Lineage: Eukaryota; Metazoa; Chordata; Mammalia; Primates; Cercopithecidae
Source: RefSeq, a predicted model, not a curated record